This 234-nucleotide ribosomal RNA is filed under the name uncultured bacterium. RNAcentral's name for it is "partial 16S ribosomal RNA". It matches the Rfam family "Bacterial small subunit ribosomal RNA", at positions 15 to 244 of the family's 1533-position model. The record is from RNAcentral.
GAUCAUGGCUCAGGACGAACGCUGGCGGCGCGCCUAACACAUGCAAGUCGAACGAGANAGAAGGAGCUUGCUUCUUCGAUCGAGUGGCGAACGGGUGAGUAACGCGUGAGGAACCUGCCUCAAAGAGGGGGACAACAGUUGGAAACGACUGCUAAUACCGCAUAAGCCCACGGGUCGGCAUCGAUCUGAGGGAAAUGGAGCAAUCCGCUUUGAGAUGGCCUCGCGUCCGAUUAG